Molecule: ribosomal RNA, 424 nt
Filed under: uncultured Pseudanabaenaceae cyanobacterium
Lineage: Bacteria; Bacillati; Cyanobacteriota; Cyanophyceae; Pseudanabaenales; Pseudanabaenaceae
Description: bacterial SSU rRNA
Rfam family: Bacterial small subunit ribosomal RNA
Source: RNAcentral
GGGGAAUUUUCCGCAAUGGGCGAAAGCCUGACGGAGCAAUACCGCGUGAGGGAGGACGGCUUUUGGGUUGUAAACCUCUUUUAUUGGGGAAGAAGAACUGACGGUACCCAAUGAAUCAGCAUCGGCUAACUCCGUGCCAGCAGCCGCGGUAAUACGGAGGAUGCAAGCGUUAUCCGGAAUUAUUGGGCGUGAAGCGUCCGCAGGUGGUUUUUCAAGUCUGCUGUUAAAGCGCAGGGCUUAACUCUGUAACGGCGGUGGAAACUGAGAGACUGGAGUAUGGUAGGGGUAGCGGGAAUUCCCAGUGUAGCGGUGAAAUGCGUAGAUAUUGGGAAGAACACCAGCGGCGAAAGCGCGCUACUGGGCCAUUACUGACACUCAUGGACGAAAGCUAGGGGAGCGAAAGGGAUUAGAUACCCCUGUAGUC